RNAcentral lists this long non-coding RNA (778 nucleotides) under Numida meleagris (helmeted guineafowl). RNAcentral's name for it is "lncRNA (ENSNMEG00000017509.1)". The record is from RNAcentral. Lineage: Eukaryota; Metazoa; Chordata; Aves; Galliformes; Numididae.
GCAUCUUUUAAUGAAAGAGCAGUUUGAGCAACAUACUUCAGAAAUGGGGUCCUGUUCAUCCUUUGCUUUACAAAUCGAUCUCCUUGGUUCCUUAAGUGAGGUCCAAUUGGUUGACAUUGUGGUUUGUCUUUGUGUGUAAACUUGCAGCUUCAGAAAAGAGAAGAUGAGCUACAAAGACAGCAACAGGAAACACUCUGCAACAGAGCAAGGAUGAUCUUCUUACUGAGUGCUAGUCUCAAGAAAUUGGACUCACCAGCUCCAGACUGAGCUGUGUAAAAUGAAAUCUGAUAUAAAAAAUGGAGAGCUGAAGUUGAAGAGCUACAAAAUGAACUGGAGCAAGUGAUUCACGUAAGCAUGUGGAUAUCUGUGGCUGUUUAUCAAUUUAAUCCAAGGAAGUCUACUGCAGAUGCAUCUGGAAGACUGAAAGACGAUUGUUCAAGAGCACAAGCAGCCUUCAGUGGACAAUCAGAGUGUGCCUACAGCUGGAGAAGCUCACUGGCGUGACGCCUUUGUUGCUCAUAAAUCUGAUUUCACAGAACUUGAAAGGAAGUUGGAUGAUACCAAAAAGGAACUGGAGGAGGUGCAUGCUGAUCUUGUCAUGGUCAUGCAGGAACUUGAUUUGGCAAGAGCUGAGGUAUAACUAUGUGUUCGGACAUCAUCUGAAUGAAUGCUCCAGUACCAGUUUUGUUUUCUUUUGUGGUAGUGGUUAGUGAAUGAUUCUUGUAUAUGUAUAGAUAUAGAUAUUUAAUAAAGAAGGACAUUUUAUUCUGAAUUUUCA